UACGUAGGGACCGAGCGUUGUCCGGAAUCAUUGGGCGUAAAGAGCGUGUAGGCGGCCAGAUAGGUCCGUUGUGAAAACUGGAGGCUUAACCUCCAGCGGUCGAUGGAAACCAUUUGGCUAGAGUCCGGAAGAGGAGAGUGGAAUUCCUGGUGUAGCGGUGAAAUGCGCAGAUAUCAGGAAGAACACCCGUGGCGAAGGCGGCUCUCUGGAACGGUACUGACGCUGAGACGCGAAAGCGUGGGGAGCGAACAGG
RNAcentral lists this ribosomal RNA (253 nucleotides) under uncultured bacterium. Its description in RNAcentral is "partial 16S ribosomal RNA". It matches the Rfam family "Bacterial small subunit ribosomal RNA", at positions 524 to 776 of the family's 1533-position model. The record is from RNAcentral.